AUACGGAGGAUCCGAGCGUUAUCCGGAUUUAUUGGGUUUAAAGGGUGCGCAGGCGGGUGAUUAAGUCGGCGGUGAAAUUUUUCAGCUCAACUGUUGAAGGGCCUUCGGAACUGGGUUUCUUGAGUGUGGAUGAAGUAGGGGGAAUUUGUGGUGUAGCGGGGCAAUGCAUAGAUAUCACGAGGAACUCCGAUUGCGCAGGCAGCUUACUAAACUACUACUGACGCUCAGGCACGAAGGCGUGGGGAUCAAACAGGAUUAGAUACCCUGGUAGUCCACGCAGUAAACGAUGAUUACUAGCUGUUUGCGAUACAAUGUAAGCGGCUGAGCGAAAGCGUUAAGUAAUCCACCUGGGGAGUACGUUCGCAAGAAUGAAACUCAAAUGAAUUGGCGGGG
This 393-nucleotide ribosomal RNA is filed under the name uncultured bacterium. RNAcentral's name for it is "partial 16S ribosomal RNA". It matches the Rfam family "Bacterial small subunit ribosomal RNA", at positions 523 to 918 of the family's 1533-position model. The record is from RNAcentral.